Molecule: long non-coding RNA, 199 nt
Filed under: Physcomitrium patens
Lineage: Eukaryota; Viridiplantae; Streptophyta; Bryopsida; Funariales; Funariaceae
Description: long non-coding RNA (PPAT_LNC010734)
Source: RNAcentral
UGUUAAUUUAACAUAAUAACACUAUAAGUCUAUAAGUCUAUGUUAAUUCAACAUAAUAACAUUAAAAUAGACAUUAAGGUAACAAUAAAACAAUAGAAAAGUGUCUUUAUCAUGUAUGAAUUUAAAACUUUAAUGUAAAAACUAUCUUAAUAGCUUAUUUAAGGAUUUUUUAUAUUUUUAUAUGUUUAAUUAAAAUUUU